This is a long non-coding RNA of Cavia porcellus (domestic guinea pig), 11867 nucleotides long. RefSeq lists it as uncharacterized. Lineage: Eukaryota; Metazoa; Chordata; Mammalia; Rodentia; Caviidae. The transcript is spliced from 4 exons. The record is from RefSeq and is a predicted model, not a curated record.
GCGGGGGGCUCUGUGGCAGUGGCCGCGCCGGCCGGGUGGCCGAUGGGUGGGGGCCGUGGGGGCCGCCUGUCCUCUCCCGCGCCGCCUUGUUUAUCUCGCGGGCGCCUGCGCUCCCGACCGAGGACCCUCCCAACUUUGAGCGGGGGUUGGCAGUCGCCUCUCCAAAGGACCCUGCACGGGGAGCCCAGCCCUUCCAUGCCCCUCCCCCGACCCUUUCCGGCCGGGCGCCCCGCUCGCACCUGUCCACUCUGCGACACACCCUCCUCCUGGCGGGUCGCCCCGCACUCUCUCUCAAGCCCGCUUUGGCCACUACUCUCUCUGGCCGUGUGCCUUCAGCCUGGCUCCCCUCACCCCAUGUGCUAGGCCAGGCGGCCUUGCCAGGCGGUGGCACUUUGGGCAUCGGGGGUUCCCGGGUGGGGGCCUGGACGGGAAGUUUGGCAUGUGCAAACAAUUUCAGAGGCAGCGUUUCCUUCACUGCCUCGGAGUUUAGAUCUGUGCCUUCCAUUGCGGCUGGUGGAGAGAUCUAAAGGAGCCCACCUGCCAGGUGGUGGGCACUGCCACGCCUUCUGUUUGUCGGCAGCCCGGCCAACUGGUUCUGGGGCUCUGGAGAUUCCCCAGGCUCUAGCACUCCUGCAGUGCAGCUGGGCAGGCGCUGGGUAUCUGCAGGCCCUCACUGCUUUCUUCACACCCGCUGUGCAGGAAGAUGUGACUGGGACAGUUUGCUUCAACAGGUAUUGGAGGUCUUGGGACACUUUACCAGGUGUUGUGUAAACAGAGCCUGAGGAGCCUUGAGACAGAGCGGUUAUGUUGGACUCCACCGGUCCUUCUGGGAGCUGCUGUGUUCUCAGCAGGACCCCCGGCUUCCUGGGAGAUGUCAAGAGGUACCCAAGAAAUCUAAUGCCCCAGGAAGCCUAUUCUGCUAGGUAGAAAUGCCUUUAAGAGCUCAACUUCAGAUGCAUGAGCCAUGGCUUCCCGAGUUGGUGAAGGCCAGGAGCCACAGCAGAGAGAGGAAAAGUCCGAGUUGGGGCAGGCGGUCUAGUUUUGGAGGAAGGUGUGCCUGUGGAGGAUGACUCCGUGGCAAGACCCAGAGUCCACAGGAGUAGUAGGUAGAAAGGGCCAAGAAAGGAGGAUCAGAGGAGCAGUUAUGGAGGAGGGAGGAUACAGAAGAUAAAUGAAGCUGGCAUGAAGCACAGCAGUGAUGCCAUACUUGCCUGGCAUGUGCAAAGCCUGGGUUUGAUCCUUGGCCUUGGGACUUGUCAUCUUGUGCAAAGCACGGGAAGAUGGGCAGAUGGGAAGACCUCCAGAUAGGACACAUGAACUGUGUGGUGGGCAGGUGCAGACAAAGGUGCUGUUGCAGGUCAGAGGAGGGCGUUCUCGGAGACCCUCGAGAAGGCGACAGAGUGACCAUGAGCAUGGCCUUGGCAUCUUGCGUGUUUCCUGAAGAUGGAGAGAACAGUGGUUGAGAUUGUGCAAGUCCUAGAAAAUCAGACUGGGGAAUUGCUGUUCUGUCUGUGUGUCCUGGCAGACAUUAAAAGUUUUAGGGUCAGGGAGGACUGCAAGGAAGGGGUGUUUGGAAAGGAUUUUGAAAGUAAUGUUAGGAGACAGGUCAGCUAGUAAGCUGCUGCAUUCCAGGAGUGCCCAGGGUUUGCAUUGGAUUUAACUGGAAAUGAAAAAAGGGUGAGUGUUAGAGAUAUUACCGUUGACAUACUCUGUUGACAGGGCCAGGGUGAAGGGAAAAGAUGAAUGGAAAUUAAUUCUUUGUGGAAAUGGAUUAUAUGCCAGGGUCUUAGAGCCACUGUAGCUGGCAACUCGAGAAAUCGGAAAUGUGUGUUUUGCAGAGAAGUAAUUGAUACUCAGGCUGUGUGGAAGUUUCUGUGUUUGCCAGAAUAUCCAAUUGUAAGUGCGCUGCCAGCAACUGCUGCACCGGGCUUCUUGGGAACCCCAGGGAUAGAGUGUUAGAGAGAGCAGGCCUUCAGUGGUCAGAGAGGUAGCUGAGGAUGUCCGGCCUGGGAGGUCUGUUUGUUGGGGUUGGGAUCCUGCAGUUCAGGCUGGCCUGGAACUCACUGUGUAGCCCAGGCUGGCCUUGAACUCAUGGCAAUCCUCCUGCCUCUGCCUUCCAAGUGCUGGGAUUACAGGCAUGUACCACCUGUCAUUUUCACCUCUUUGUGUUGCUGCCAUUUACAUGACACUGCCUGGUCUUGACCUUGAAGUUGGAGAAACAAGUCUGAAGAUUCGGGGCUUCUGGGAAACUGGGGCCAUUUAUUCUUCUAGGCAUGAGGGUGCAUGCAGUUGGAGGUUGGAGAGAAGCAGCAUAGGAUUUGCUAAAGGUGUAUAAUGUUGGACUUGGAAGUGUGUUGAACUUUAGACUCCACCAGGAUCUUCAGGCUGGUCCCAUGUUUCAUUCCUGCAGGGGAGAGGGGGUGGGUGGAGAUUUGUCAGUGGAGGUAUUGACUUCUCUAGGGCUUGGCUCUUCCUAGCCCAUGCCAUUGCCCAUUCCCAGGAGUCUGAGGACCUGCACACAGAAGGGAUCGGGUGCUUUUUUUGCUGAGUACUGAAUUGUGCUUUCUUGUUGCACGGCUGACUUAGGGUGAUUUGCUGAACAAAUUCCCCAAGCCUCAACUUGCAACAUCUGAAUUUGGAGGAUGAUUGCAGAAGGCUGCAGAAUGAGCCGAGAAUGUAAUUAGUGACUUAGCCUCCUUGUUUCUCUGAGCUGCAGGGUCGGUGCACUGGUAGGGGAACAGGACUUAGGGGAGGAGACCUGCAGGGGUGUGGAUCAGAUUUUUUUUUUUCUUUAUGGCAAAUAUCUGACUGUGUGAAAAAUAAUUGCAUGUGAGUGAGCAGUGGUUGAGCUCACUCAUUCUAGAGCAAUGUUUUCUGUACCAUUCUGGCUCUGACCUACAUUAAGAAACAAAAUUUACAUUAUGACCCUGUACAUACAGCAUGUAUGUUACAAUCUAAUUUCAGUUCAUGUAGGACUACCUCCCUUUGGGUGGUCCCAUCUCCUUGAACAUUUUUUGGGGGCGUCUGUUUUAUUGUUUUUCAUUAGAAGAGCAAUUGUUAGCUGGGCAUGGUAAUACAGGCUUGGGAGGGAGGUUGAGACAGGAGGAUUGAAAGUUCAAGGCCAUCCUGAGCAACUUAGGGAGACCCUGUCCAAAAAUCAAAACAGCUGUUGUUCCUAAGUUCAUGGAGUUAUUCUCUCAUGAAGUAGUGGGUCACAAUGCAUGAACAGUUUGAAAAGCGCAGAGAGAGUUUUCACAUUCAGUAAACAUUUAUUAAGUCAUGUAUGUGCGAACAUACCCUUCCCAGUACUGAAGGUAGAAAGGUACAAAUGAGAGAUAGAAACUGUUCAAUCUUUUUGGAGGUUUAAGGCGCGGCUUGGAUUAAGGAGCAGGGCGAGAUGAUUAAAUGCCAAAAAUGAAAAACAAAUGCCUGCAGUGUAUGAAAACGGGGUGGUAGCCAGGGAUUUAGUUCAGUAGCAUAAGUGCCUGCCUGGCAAGUGCAAGGUUGUGAGUUCAAUCCAUGGUACCAAAAAAAAAAAAAAAAAGGAAAAAGAGAUCAUGAUAUGUGCAGUGUAGAUAGAAAAAACUCUUGGGAUGAAGGAAGUCUGGGGUGAACAGUUUGGGUGUCUCAGAUGUCUCAUAGGAGAAACUCAUGUGUGCAAGUUAGGAGUUAGGAGCGAACAUAGCAUGUGUGUGUGGGUGUGAAGAACAUGGGACUCUUGUGAUAGCAGGGGGAAAUUAGAUUGGAGAGGUAGGAAGUAUAGGUCUUUAUUAAGGAGGGAUUUGUAGAAAUUUCCAGGCCUUUAUGCUGUUACAGUUUGGAUAGCAUAGAGGUUUUUAAAAAUUAGGAAUAAUCCAGAAACUUGUGGGCUUUUUAAAAAGACUCAGAUCUGACCGUUAUUUCCAGCAGAGAGGUGGUCAUUGCCUAUGGAAAGGGUCAGGCCUGCUGCUCCCAAGCAUGAUUCCAGCGUCCUCUCUUGCCUGCCUGGGUCCAGUUGCUUGGCAUUCCUCGCUGUGUCCCAUCGGCAUUUGGCUUUGUGACCUCAGUUUUCAAGUCUUGGAUGCCAUGCUGGAGAAUGUGUGCUGCUGUCGCAGGCCAUGGGUGCCCCCCUCCCCACCCCAAGGAUUCUGGCAGGAGCCAGAGACUGUGGAAUCCGAGGAUUCCAGCGCCAUGCUUUGCUUUAGGCCAGUGAGCAGCUCUUGCUGGGGAGCUGCUGGCUGGGCCUUGGAAAUAUUUUCAUGAUGAACAGCAUGGUAUUUACUAGAGAGGGCUUUGCCUUGUCAUCUAGAAAGCGAUGCAGACUUCUAGUGAUCUGAAGUUCUCUCCUGCCUCUACUUCUGGCUGGUGUGAUUAGAUCUUGGCUCCUGGCAUGUCACUCUGAAAGGGAUGUUGGGGUUAUGAGUUGGUGAGUUGUGAGUCACAGCUGUCAGUUGCCUUGCGACAUUAGAUUCUUUGGUUCUGUGGGCCCAUAAAAGAAGACCAAGGAGAAGGGGGAGCCCCAGCGGGGAAGGGUGCAUAGUCUGGAGAGGUUCAUAGUGGCUGCAGAGUAGCUGGCUCAAGCCCAGAUAUUAAUGCAUAUGGCUACAGAAGAGUAGGUGUGUUUGGGGCAGCUGGUGUGGGAAGUCUUUAUGGCUGAGGACACUCUGGCUUUUCCUGGAGUCCUAACUACCCACCAUUCAGAGCUUCUCCCAGGUGAGCUGCAGGUGACAGGGGCUGACCAAUCAUUUCCCUGCUUUUUACAGGUAGGACAAAAUUUACCUAAAAGUAUUGUUGUUGUUUUUUUUUUUAAUAACACACAGAUACAAGUUAGGAAUUUUCUUAAAAGCAUAUGGCCAUAGGAUGCAAGGGUACCUAGAAGUCAGCUGAAUUAUAUCAACUUGAAUCUAUUUCCUGUUUUAUGUGAUGUUUUGCUUACUAAACCAGAAGGGAAUGAUGCAGCAGCUCUGGUAUGUUUAGUUUUAGUAAAGUAGUUCACAGUUUCUUAAGAUACACUUGUCCGUAUUAAAUCAUAAGUAGUAAACUAGGGGCUGGGUGGUGGCCUUGGUUUAAUUUAGGGAUCCUAUGCAAGCACUGUUAGUUACUGGCGCAGAGUCAGCCUGGGAGCAGGUCAGAAAGUGAGCACCACAGGGCUCUGAUUUUGGCUUGGGUUGGGUUGAGUAUAAGGAAGAUGUGUUUGUCUGAUUUGGAGGCACAGAGCAGGGAAGGACUGCUUAGUUAGAUAAAUCAGAUUCAUCUAGAAUGAGGACCUCAAAUUAAAAAGAAAAAGAGCUGGGUGUGGCGGUGCAUGUCUGUAAUUCCAGCUAAUUGGGAGACUGAGGCAGGAGGAUUGCAAGUUCUGGCCCUGCUUGGGUAACUGUGAGCAUCUUUCUCUAUAAAUAAACAAAUGGGGCUAACUAGGGUUGUAGCUCACAGCCCCUUCCCUCAUUUCUGUAAAGAAUAAAUAUAAAGCGUGGUUUAGUUUUACAGAUUUGAGACGAUAUCUCAAGAUGGCCAAAUAGUGUAAGUAGAUAAUUAUUCUUCUAGGGAUGUAGCUGAAACAAAACAUGAAAUAUAGAUGAUAUUUUUAUGCACCCAUCAUUCAGAUUUUUUAAAAACUCUAGUAAAAAAUUGGUAGCAACCUAUAUUUCCACUGGUGUGGGCUGGAGACAGUGGAUAGGUGAAUUCCAGUGGAUGUAUCUUUAAAAUGGAGGUUUAUGAAGUUAUGCAAAAUAAUAUUUAGGAGCAAUUUAAAAGAUAACCAGGGAGGAUGUUUCUGGUAAAAGUUACAGUGUGCCUACUAUCUAAUUCCAAAGGUUUAAAACACAUGCCUAGAAAAUAACUGGAAAGAAGUGUCCUAAUAAUACCAAACCUCCGAUGUUUCUAGAUGGGUUGAGCUAAGUGACUUUCUGUUUUUCAUGCUUUUAAAUUUAUUAUUUGCCAGUGGGGGAAAAUACACUACUUUAAACACAUCUUAUUGUUUGAGGACAGGAUGGGAGUAGUUGAUUCAUGUGGAGAUUAUUGUUGAGUACCUACCUGCCCCGUGUCAAGUGCUGGCAUAGAUACCAUGCUCACAAAAUAACACCCAGCACCUGACUCUGGCACAGGCCACUGUGGAACGCCAGGCUGUCUGGUGGAAAGUCUUGUGUUUUUUUCCCCUGUCAUUUAUGAGUUCAGCGUGGAGUCCUCAGUGGGCUGAGCCUUUCCAAAUAUCAAAGCCAGUGGAGAAUCCCAGAAUCCAGUCUUAAUGACCUUGGUCAUAUGACCUUUGGACUCCUGGGGUGAUUUCAAAGACACCUGAGCAUCAGGACUUGAUCCACAAAGGGAGAAUAGGGUGAUGGAGACUCAGGAGUGACCGGUGUGGGCUUGUGGAGGGGGUCUGCAGUAGUGCCUAUAAAAGGCUUUCAUGGUUGUCAGGUGUGGGAAGGACCACAUGUGUUCAUUUUUUUGUUUUUGGUACCAGGAAUUGAACUCAUGACCUUGUACUUGCCAGGCAAGUGCUUGCACCGCUGAGCCAAAUCUCUGGUCCUAGGUUUGGUGCCAUAGGUAAGUUCCCAGGGGCGGGGAAGAUGAUGUCACGGUAAAUUUCUAGAGGUGAGGGAAAUAGGAGCUUCCUGGUUCUGGUUGAGGCUUUUCUGGCUACAGAGUCCUGUCUGGGCCACAACCCUUUCAAUUUAAUUUGACAUAAUCUCUUUAAAUGGUUGGCAGCGGUCAUUCCAUACAGUGAGGCACCUUGGGAGAGCGCCCCACCCCAUCUCUCUCCAGGGAUGUUCAGGGCUCUGCCAGCCACCUCAGCACGCUUUUGUGCAGUUAGGAGCCAUGCAGCCGUGUUCCCGUGGCACAGCUACUUACACAUCUUUUCUGAGCCUCACUAGCUUAUUCUCCGUGUGUUUUGUUUCUGUAGGCAGGGGCUGAACAAGCGUUGUUUCUUUUCACUUCAAUUAGAUUUUAUUGGUACAUUUGGGACAUACCCAAUGAUCAUCUUAGAGGAUUUGUACCUAUACAUGGUACUGUUUUCUUUCCCAUUCCCCUACCCUCCCUUCAAUGUUCCUCCCCUUAUCCAUUUACAAAAUUUCCUUUCCACGUUUUCUUUGUUUUGUGUUAAGUAAUCAGAUUUACAGUCUUUUCCCCUUUUGCUUCUUGAUUUUUGAGACAUAAUCAGGAAAGACCUGUUGAGUACAUAGAAAAAAAAUCACCCAACGCUUUUUUAAUAUAAUCGUUUGUUUCUGCCAUCAGUUGCUGAUCCUUUUAAUCCACACUGUGAAUAACGAGGGGAGGCUCCGUCACCUACAAUGCCAGCCACCUGCCACCGCGGCCCUGGCUCUGAGGUGACCCGCCGCACCCUGAACUUCGACACGUGGCCCUGCCCCACCCGGGCGAAGGGGCCAGCCAGGCCAGCAGCCACGUAGCGGCGUGCCAAGCCUGGUGCCCAGGUCCAGCGGUGAAGGCGCCUGAGCUUGGUGCCCUAGCACGGCUACUCGCUAGCCUUGCUCUGCGGCCGCGGGGCCCCGCCCCUGGCCGCGUUCAUUGGGCGCUCCACCCGCCGGCCACGUUCAUUGGAGGCUCCCGCCCCGCCCCCGCGCUGUGCCCAGCUUUCGCCCCGCCCCCUCUGUGAAGGCUGCGGCUUUGUGGUUGUCCUGGAGACCCUCUGUUACCUAUGUUUAUGGUUCAUAGCGCAGCACGAAGCGGAAGGUGUAGCUGUGCGGUCCUGCCCUCUGCUGCUACUGGGAAAGACUUUUUGCCAUUGCCGGGUCCGGCCCGGUCCGGCUGGGUCCGCAGGGAGCGGUCCUUCACGAUGGACACAGUAUCAGCCACUGUGGCCGUGGUCUUCGUGUCCCCGGGCAACCCCGAGCUGCUGAAGCCCCUGUCGAAGCUGUAUGUGGCCCUCGUAUCCCUGCUACUGGAGCUGGUUGCAGUGUUACCUGAGGAUCUCCAGCCCGGGCCUGACUUUUAUGGGCUCCCCUGGGAGCCUGUGUUGCUCACUACCUGUGCUGGAAUCCUUACGCUUGCGAUUUUCUUGUGGAGGUGUGUUCUUCCAGAGUUCUGAACUUGUUGAUCUGCAGGCCGGAUCAAGUGGCGCUCAGCGUGGGAGCUCCUGGCAUGGAGAAGUUAACGAGGGAGCCGUUCGAGAGACAGCCGGCUUAAACUGAAAGUAAAAGCGAAUUGAACCAGAGACCUCGGCCGAGGAGUGAGUAAACUGAAUCAAAGAUUAAAGCUUAAAGCAACAGGACAUUAAAUUAAGUACCGAGACCUGCACAGACGACUACCCGACGUCCUGCCCGAGUCACGGUGACACAUCUCCCUGGAGCCUUAUGCUGCUUAGCCAGCCUUCUUGAGCCACACCACACCCAUGGUGGAUUUUGACCCCUGCCAAACAGACUACAACUGCUGACAGCCAUGCACAGAACCCCAUGACUGUGGAAGAGGCUCUUCUCGGUCUGGAGGAACAUACACCAGCCAAAUAGACUGCAUCCAGUGUUAUGCAAGGCAUGCUCCAACACAGGAGAAUGACUUCAUACAGAGACACCAACAAAUGGCUGUCAACCCCUUCUCCUUGAUUUGGGGGGGGGGAGUUUUUCCCUUACCUAAUGCCCCUUUUGGGUCCCCUAGCUGACCUAUUGUUUCUCAUUUCUGUGAGUUCUUGUAUUUUUCAGAGGAUUAUGAUGUUCAUUAAUAACCGGAUAGACGCAUUUAUGGCAAAGCCCAUUCAGGUACACUAUCAUCAGCUGGAGAUGGCAGAUCAACAAACCUACAGGGAAGGAAUUCCCACGAGUGGCCCAUAUGACCAUGCGGCCUAACUGCCCUGGAGCAAUGGACAGGCAGUCAGAGACGGGCAACUAGGACAUGCAUGUUAAUUCCAACGGCCACCUAAGACAGGCACAGGACCAACUGCUGUUCUGCAAGCCCAUGACGGGUAAGGCCUGGUUGGGUUCAUGCAAUGAGGUCCUUGACCUAAGACAGAUGCUGUCCUCACAGGGCCUGCCAUACUCUUAAUUAAAUAAUAUAAAAAGGGAGGAGAUGUAGGGAGCCGAGUGACAGGCAUUGCUGCCUCGAUGUCUCUCUCUCCUAUGGGCACUGCGUCUGCCUACAUUAACCAUAAUCCCCUCCUGCUUACGUCACGUAUCCGGAUGUGAUGGUGAUCCUGUUGUAUUCAUCUGUUUAACCUCUUCCUGUCCCAGCUCCCGCCCUUAGCCUAUAAAAGGUGUGAUUAUUUUCUGAAUAAACCGGAAGCUUGAUCGGAUUAUUUCAUCUUGCUUUCGUCUCUUUUUGUCUCCCCCAUGUCUUUUAUUUAAUCCCCGUUUCCCCUCCAGGAGUUCUGAACUUGUUGAUCUGCAGGCCGGAUCAGAUUAUUAUCUUUCAAAGCUUGAAUUGUUUCCCCCCAUGCUCUUCGUGAUUUGAUGGUUUGUGCUGAGAAGUCUGCUGUAAUUCUGAUGGGUGUUCCCUUGUAAGUGAUCUGUUUCUUGUCUCCGACGGCUUUUAGUAUUCUGUUCUUGUAUUGGAUUUCUGGAAUUUUAAUUAUUAUAUGCCUGGGUGUUGCUCUGUUUGGGUUGUAGGUGGCUGGGGUCCUGUAUGCUUCAUACAACUGAGUAUCUUUACCUUUUGCUAAAUUAGGAAAAUUCUCCUGGAUUAUUUCUGUGAGUAGCUUUUGUAGUUCAUUUGUUUGUGUCCCUACUUCUUCUUUUAUGUUCUUAAUUCUUAAGUUAUAGACCCUCUUAUCAUCUUCUAGUCUUUGUAUUAUUGCUGUUUGUUUUCUUGUUAUUUUUAAGAAGUUUUUCAUUUCAUGCUCCCAUAUUACAAAUCUGCCCUCCAGUUCAGAUAAUCUGUCCUUAGUUUCUUUCAAGCUGUUAUACCAGUUUUCAAUAGAUUUUUUAGUUUCCUGGUAUUCUCUUUGAACCUGCUUCACGUAUUCUGUGCUUUCUCUAUUUUCUCCAUUAAACAAUUCUCCCCUCUUUUUCUGUUUUUCCGUUCCACCAUCUGUUUUUUCUUGGGUGGUGCUUAGCAUUUUUCUAACUAUUCUGCUUAUGUCUAGCUUCAGGUCAUUAAUAACUUCAUUCCUGAACUUGUCUAUGAGGCUCUCUAGAUGGCGCUUUAUGUCUAUUGGUGCGGUGUCCACUAUUGCCUGUUUCUCAGGAUUGGGGGCCGAGGACCCUUUCUUGUUGCUGCCUCUUCCCAUAUUCUUUGUUCCUUAUAUAUGCAAGUGUAUAUAGGAGGCCCAACUUCAUUCCCUGUCAGCCACAGUCUGAUUGAAUUGCGCUGGCUAUGUGUUCCCGCCCACCGCAGCACACCAGGGAGUUACAGACCAGACAGCCUAUGCGGUGCCCACCCCUCCAGGUCACCUUCAGGAGCUGGGACCUGGGCUGUGCUAGCCUACUGGGUCUCAGCCAGCAGUGUCACGUGGGCUAGGCACUGCUCACCAAUCCCGCUUGAGAGGCGGAUUGGUGACUGAAGUCACUGCAGCGCCCUGUUCCCGCAAGUCUGCCUGGUACCAGAAUGUCCUCUGUUGGAGUCUCCCAAACCGUGGGAAGAGUGUCAGUUUCUCUCACUCGCCUCACCGCAAGUCAAUGCACAGCUCCCUGCCCAUCCUGUUUUCAACUCUGUUCGCCGAUUCCCGUUCUCAGAGCUUCUGCGUGUCUCUCUCCCUGCCAAGCCGAUGCAGACGCAGCCACCGCGCAGCGGGAAACCCUAUCACGGCUUCCAAUGGCGCGGGCUCCAGCUUCCACACUGAGGUUUUAUCUGUUCCUGUUAUUGCACCAGGAUUGCAUUCCCAGUUGGUUUCUCUCAGCUCAGUUCGUUCUUGGAUCACCAGGGCAUAUCUCCUCUUGCUUAUGAUUCCUUACUUAGCACCAUUCCUGAAUUCUAAGCUGGGUGUUUCAGAGAGCCUCUGUAGCUGCUGCUAUCUGUCUGCCAUGUUCUCCCCAGCUCUAGAUAUUUCCUGGGGAAAGGAUGGUGAGAGGAUGAGAAAAUAAAGAGGAGACAAAGUUGGGGAAGGAGGAGCCCUUAUCCUCCUGAUGGGAGGAAAGGUGCUGUUCCACCACUGUAGCUCCUUUAUUCACCUCCAAAGAAGAAUGUCAGUUUCAACCCCACUGCCUAGCAACUUGUUUGAAUGGCUGGCCAGGGCCUCUUUCCUUCUUGGAGCUGGAACAGCUUGUUUAUGUGGCUCAUUCUGAGCUCUUUGUGUUUUCAGAGCUGGUCUUGCUUCAGUCCCACACAUGUGAUUAAUAUCCAGCAUCAAUGGCUCCCUAUAAUACACAAUUUCCUUUUAUAACAUAACAUAUGGGUCCCCUAACCCUUGGUAACAGAGCAGUACUGCAACCAAGUCAAGACAGACCAUAUAGAAGGAGGUGGGCAUGGAUCACAGGCAAGGCUCCUUCUGCAUAUACUGGUGUUCAUCACUCUCCUUAUUGCCUGAUUUCCACUGUGGUUCAGCUCAGAGGCAGCACUAGAUUCUUGUGGGGGAUGAGGUGUCACUUUGUAGGCCCAACCCCCUCUAACCUGCAAUUUACAAUAGCCGCCCUGGUAUGCGAGAAGGAGGUAGAAUAGGAAUGCCUGUUCUCAGUGAGACCCCUCACCCUCUGGAAUCCAUACUGUGAGCUGGCUUUGUUUUGCAGAAGUCUUGAGGAAGUGGCUGGCCACCCUUUGUGACACUAACAGCAGACAAAUUAACAACAUUCUUGAGCUAAUGAAUUUCUUCCUGGGCUAGAGAAGUUAUGAGAACUGGUUGUGAUUAUUUACUUCACUUAGAUAGUUUUAGAAUAAACAUUGUAGUCUGUCACGUUGUAGCUUGCCACAAAGAAUGCCUUUUCACUACUUAAUUAUCUGGGCUCUGUGAACUGAUCGGGUUUACUAUAUAUGAAUCCUAAAAUAAAGAUUGUGCGUGCAGUGCAGUGUAA